AUACGGAGGGUCCGAGCGUUAUCCGGAAUCAUUGGGUUUAAAGGGUCCGUAGGCGGGAAUCUAAGUCAGUGGUGAAAUCUUGCAGCUCAACUGUAAAAUUGCCAUUGAUACUGGGUUUCUUGAAUUAGUGUGAAGUGGUUAGAAUGUGUAGUGUAGCGGUGAAAUGCAUAGAUAUUACACAGAAUACCAAUUGCGAAGGCAGAUCACUAACACUAUAUUGACGCUGAGGGACGAAAGCGUGGGGAGCGAACAGGAUUAGAAACCCGGGUAGUCC
Molecule: ribosomal RNA, 274 nt
Filed under: uncultured bacterium
Lineage: Bacteria
Description: partial 16S ribosomal RNA
Rfam family: Bacterial small subunit ribosomal RNA
Source: RNAcentral